GCGCCCGUAGCUCAAUCGGAUAGAGCAACGGACUUCUAAUCCGUAGGUUGGGCGUUCGAGUCGCCCCGGGCGUA
This 74-nucleotide transfer RNA is filed under the name bacterium. RNAcentral describes it as "tRNA-Arg". It matches the Rfam family "tRNA". From Rfam's summary of the family: Transfer RNA (tRNA) molecules are approximately 80 nucleotides in length. The record is from RNAcentral.